UGGCAUAUAGAAGUUCCCAUGCUAGGAACUGAAUCAGAGCUACAGCUGCCAGACUACACCACAGCCAUAGCAACGUGGGAUCAGAGACAUAUCUGUGACCUACACCACAGCUCAUAGCAAUGUCAUAUCCUUAACCCACUGAGUGAGGCCAGGAAUCGAACCCAUCAGCAGGUGCAACCUCCUUUCCACAGAUGAGAAUAUGACUUGUCCAUAGUGACACCGCUGGAAAAGAAUUCAAACUAAGGUCCAUUCUUUACUGCAUAUAUAUAGCUCUCCUGCCAAGAUAUUGCUUAAGAUCUAGAACUAAGAAAUUACGUCUUAUUCUAAGUCCUUUUUACUUAAGUUGGCUUUCACAAUCCCUCACAUCCUAAAAUUUUAUGACUAUGUAUACUUAAGUAUAAACCUAAUCCUAUAGACAAAAAUACUUAAUUUUUUCAUAAUUUUUAUGAACUUCCAUAUGCUGCAGGUGUAGCCAUAGAAAAGGAAAAAGGAAAAAAAGGGAGAUGUGGAACACAUAUACAACGGAAUAUAACUCAGCCAUAAAAAAGAGCAAAAUAAUGCCAUCUGCAGGAACAUGGAUGCAACCAGAAUUUCUCAUACUAAGUGAAGUAGGUCAGAAAGAGAAAGAUAAACACCAUAUGAUAUCACUUAUAUGUGGAAUCUAAAAUACGGCACAAAAUGAACCUAUACAAAACAGAAACAGACUCAGACAUGGAGAACAGAUUUGUGGUUACCAAGGGGGAGGGAGUGGGAUGGACUGAGAGUUUGGGGUUAGUAGAUGCAAACUAUUACAUUUAGAAUGGAUAGAUAAUGAGGUCCUACUAUACAGCACAGGGACCUGUGUGCAAUCUUGUAGGAUAGACCAUGAUGGGGAAUGAUAUGAGAAAAACAAUGUGUGUGUGUGUGUAUAAAUGACUGGGUCACUUUGCUGUACAGCAGAAGUUGGCACAACAUUGUGAGUCAACUGUACUUUAAAUUUUUUUUUAUUUAAAAAAAGAAUGUUGUUGAAACAAAGCAUAAAGCUGAGUGCUCUAGAGACAAAAGGGAAAGCAAAACACUGAUCUAGCCUAAGACAGUUUAUGAUGAAGGGAAGAAAACUUAUACAGAAUGAAAAUUAUAUGAUAGAAGGUACGAAAAAAUGCUCUAAAACCCAAGCACAUAUAUAGCAAAACACACAAAUGCACACAGACAAGCAUAUACCAGAAAAUAAUAAGCUAUUCUAAAUGAUUGAAUAAAAAUAGUGGGAAUUCAAGCUUAUUUGGCCUUUUCUUUUACAAUUCAUAGGCCCACAGAUGGAAAGUCUGAAUAAGAAGUGACCAAGUUAGCCUUAAUUGCAUUUCUUGUUAACUUGACCAGUUUGAUGACUAAUCCAUCUCUAAACUAGAUGGUUUUAUAGGUACACAUUUAGGUUAUUCUACGCCACGUUAAAAAUGCUAUUAAGUUGAUUAAGACUAAACUCAUUUUCAGGAGCCAUUGCAAACAAUUUUCCAUGCUUGAUGUGUACUUGCAAAGGGAAUCUGUGGCAGGUAUUAAUUACACUGCAAGAAAAGCUCAAAAGAAAGUUAGGUGAAUACCAGCAAUGCUGCAAGUUGUAAAGUAAACACUGUACUAGAGUCUUAUAACUAGUGGCAAGUCAAGGAAAAAUGGCCUCAUGAUCUUCUUUAGCUAAUCAGGUCCUCUUUAGUAUAUAAUGGGAUCACGUGUGAAAUUAGAGGUGAAAGGUUGGAGACAAUAUUUUAAAGAGUCUCCAAAAAAAAAAAAAAAAGCAACUGUUAAAGGUUUUCAAGAUUUGGCUUCAUUAGGUUGAACAAAAGGAAAGUGACUCACUUUUGCCUAAAUGAGCCCAGCUGAAGGAGAAUAUUUAACAAUUUUCACAUAUGUGGAGACAAGUUGAAUGCUUAAUCAUGAGUCAUCCACAGGAAAGAGCAAGGCAUACAUUCCUCCUGACUCUGCCACUCACUCUGCAACCUGGCUCCUACUCCAUCUGGCAAAGGCAAAUUCUAGCCCGCCCUUUCCGUAAGCCCUGUGUAGUUCUUCUCAGUCUCCAUCAUUCCUUCCAUCCUUCUUCCUUAACCCAUUUGUAGAGGAUUUUUGUUCCUUCCUUUCCUAUUCUACAAGUCCUUCGGCUGCUUUUAGCUUUUGUCUGGGUUUCAACAAUCAGAGCUAUGCUGUGACAUUUAAAUCUGAAUGGAUAGCUCCUUAGCUCUUGAAUUCUCUGCCUGAAUUUUUGAUUCUCUACAUAAAAAUUCCAUAAUCUGAAGUGAAUUCAGAUUCAAUGGGCCAGAAACGGGAUCCAUUCUCACAGCUUCCUACCCUCUGAUCCCCCUGGGUUUCCCACAGCAGCUAUCACCCACGCUGGAAACAUCAAGAUUUGUCAACACUUUGAGGAUAAAACACUCAUAUGAGUCAUCUUCUGCCACCACUCCAAAAUCCCAGCCUUCCUAUUUAUCCAAUUUAGGGCCUCUUACCUACUCUAUCACAAGAGAUUUUUAUUUUGUUUUCUUAUCUCUAGUGUUUCAUAUGUCCAGUCUACCCUUUACACUCCCAUCACGUGUAUACCUGAAAAUAAAGGUAUGUUGUUCAUUUCCCAGAUGGUAAACCUCCCAAGGAUCCCAGGCAUCUAGAGUUCUCAGCUUUCUUUUUUUUUAAUUUUAUUUAAAAAAAAAAAUUUUUUUUUUGGCUGCGCCUAUGGAAUGCAUAAGUUCUCAGGCCAGGGAUCCAACCUGUACCACACCAGUGGCCCAAACCAUAGCAGUGAUGAUGCUAGAUCCUUAACCCACAAGGCCACCAGGGAACUCCUAUACCUCUAAGCUUUUAAAAGUUAGAAUUGAGAUUCUCAAUAUCCUAGUCUUGAAUUCCUAUGUUUUUGCCAUCUUAUCUGCGGCAAGCAAACAGAACUUAAUUUAAUUUUCACGUGACUCUAACAUUUUUUACUUUGUCUAAUAUUUGCUCAAAUCGUUCUGUCAGGCUGAAAUGCCAUUUCCUCAUCUUUACCUCUUGAAAUCGUAUUUAGAAUAAAAUUUUUUCAUAAACAAAGCUGAAAAAUGUUUUCUGGCCCAUUCUGGAAUCAAGGACAACAUUUAGACAAAAUUCACAAUGAAAUAUCCAAAACAGAAAAUCUAAACUAAGACCAACCUAACAAAGGAUUAAUGCUUUAAUUGUAGUAAUUCGGUGGCAAAUAAAGAUGAAAAGCAUCACAAAUAGGUUUCAGCACAAGUCUUAGAAGGGCCUUUGAAAUUGAGAGAUGAGCGAGACAAGACGUUAAACUGCUGUGGAUCAUUUUUCUGACACUACGUACUGUGUGUUAAAAUCUCUUCCUAUUGAUUGACUGUGUUACUACGGCCUUAGAAAAUUACAAAAAUUUAAACAAAAUAAUUCCCUUUUUUUCUACCACUCUAAAAUGAUCUCACAAGGAAAUCUAUUCAUGGAUACAUCAUCCAUUUGUUCAUUUAUUUGACAUGAAUCAAAUAGCAUUCCUGUUUGAGAUCAAAUUGUGGAUAAAAAUGAUGGGCUGGUAAAAACCAGAAUCUGAUAAAUGCCGUAAAAAUUGUGUCAUUGACGUUUAAAAGAGAAAGAUCAGUUAUGUAAGCUAAAGUAGUCAGAUAAGCACCAGGGAAAAGGGAACUUUUGAAAUCAAUUCUGAAGAAUGUAUGGUACUUCAAACAAAUAACAAGUUGACAAAUAAAAAGACUGAAAAAAACUCCCCAAAUGAAGUGGAGAAUGUUGGGAUUGUUUGAACAAUGCUUAAAUUCCAACAUAGUAGAGUGGAAAGCAACAUGAAGGAGUAACAGUAAAUACCUGAGAUGAGGAUCUUGGUCCAGCGAUCAUGGAAGGCCUUGAAUGUCAGAUUAAGCAUAGCUUGGACCCCUUUACCCCAUCAAUGGGGUUUGUGCUUUAGGAGAUGAGUCUGGGAGCAUUUUAGAGGUUAGAGUUUUGGAAUAUAGGGAAUCAUUGAAGGAAAGAUAAAAUGAGGGAUGGCCAAAUAAAGGAAAGUACAUAAGCGAUAUACGACAUAUUCAGUUUUCAGAUCUUGGCAAAUACUUGACUACAUUGAUAAGGUAGAAAGUGAGAGGCCAGAAAAACUGUGAUGUUUCUAACAUUGGUCAAAAGGAGACUGGGGUACCACCAGCAGAAGUCAGAAAAGGAGAGAGAGGGCCAAGUUUAUGGAAAGAAACAUUUUUCCUUGAAAUGCUUUAUGGUGGUGCAAAAUGAGCUACUCGGCUUAAACGGUCCUCCUAGUGGCCCCAAACAUUAAACCUGGUUUCUUCCUACCACUCACUACAAGAGCUUGGAUACUCGCACUGGCCCUCCCUCUUGCCUGCUACAGCAUUUUUGCAGCAUGACACCUCAUUCUUCCUAUUCUAGAACUGUUCACUCUGAGUCUGGAAAACUUAAAUCAAACUAGAUGUUUCUAAAGGAGAGGGUAAAACCACAUCAUUGACACAGGGAAUGAAUUCUUUGGGGGUCCUGAAAAGAAGCUUUACCAUUUGACCCAACCCCACAUUAUUCCAAGAGUUACUGAGUCAGGAGAUGAGAGGGAACACCCAUGAGUUCACCUGGAUCAACCAAGUCUGGUAGCUGAAAAAAAGAGGUUUUUAAACAUAUAUCAAAAGCUCUUAAAUGUUUCUAAUUGUGAUCUUCUUGCCAAUAAAUUGGAUCAACUAUUCUGCAUUAUCCAUGGUUUUCUUUCUUAAACUAGUUUAUACAGUUCUGCAAAAAAAAAAAAAAAAAAAAAA
This 4736-nucleotide long non-coding RNA is filed under the name Sus scrofa (pig). Its description in RNAcentral is "lncRNA (ENSSSCG00040057795.1)". The record is from RNAcentral. Lineage: Eukaryota; Metazoa; Chordata; Mammalia; Artiodactyla; Suidae.